This 425-nucleotide ribosomal RNA is filed under the name uncultured bacterium. RNAcentral's name for it is "partial 16S ribosomal RNA". It matches the Rfam family "Bacterial small subunit ribosomal RNA", at positions 354 to 796 of the family's 1533-position model. The record is from RNAcentral.
GUGGGGAAUCUUAGACAAUGGGGGAAACCCUGAUCUAGCCAUGCCGCGUGAGCGAUGAAGGCCUUAGGGUUGUAAAGCUCUUUCAGCUGGGAAGAUAAUGACGGUACCAGCAGAAGAAGCCCCGGCUAACUCCGUGCCAGCAGCCGCGGUAAUACGGAGGGGGCUAGCGUUGUUCGGAAUUACUGGGCGUAAAGCGCGCGUAGGCGGACCAGAAAGUUGGAGGUGAAAUCCCAGGGCUCAACCUUGGAACUGCCUUCAAAACUCCUAGUCUGGAGUGCGGGAGAGGUGAGUGUAAUGCCGAGUGUAGAGGUGAAAUUCGUAGAUAUUCGGAGGAACACCAGUGGCGAAGGCGGCUUCCUGGCUCGAUACUGACGCUGAGGUGCGAAAGCGUGGGGAGCAAACAGGAUUAGAAACCCUAGUAGUCC